AGACGAUCGAAUCCAUGACCUGUAAUCACGAUAUUUUCCUCAUUACCGUCGUUCUCGGCCGAUUCGCUCGCGCUUUUCAUCAAUUUACUAACUCCUUAUCUGGUCCAGCUACCUUGGCGACGACCAACGGUAGAUAAUACUCGAGGCAGGCGACCCAGUGCACGUACACGACGAGAAUAACGCUCAUCUCCGCGAUUUUAUACAGAGGAAAAAGUAACUACGAGCCCAUGAACGCACGUAGUAGAGUCUGCGUGAAUAAACGAGCACGAUUCGUAGCCAUAGUAUCUUCAGCAAGUUCAGUGACCUUAGGUACCAUAUCGACUCAGGUGUGGUGGCAAGGAACUCCAACGGUAACACGACUAAUAUAUCCAGGACGAAAAAUCCUCGUAGGUACUUACUACGAAUUGGAAUAAUAUUGUUUGUUUGUCUCACGUUUUGUAUAACGAAAAAGUUGAUUUUAUCCAUACCUAUACAUAAUCUUCACAUUUUCAAUAAAAAAAUAUCGAUUUUUAUGUUUUAUAGUUACAAUAGUGUAGAUUUAAAAAAGUUUUUAAGGGGAAAAUCGAUUAUAUAGAAGGAAAAGCUCUGCAACGUAUGUUUAUUACAGAGAACUAUAUGGGAAAAAAGUUUCACGUAACAUAAUUUAUAUCUUUUCUCUUUAAAGUAUGAAUCAUAAGCAGUCGAUUUCAACGAAUAUUUUUUAUCACUUUAGACUAACUUUAUUCUUUAGGCUACUUUUGCAUACCUCGCUACGAUUUUCGGAUCUAAGACUAUCGAUUGUGUUUGGUAAUCAUAAUAACCGGUGAAAAACCGUAUCGUUAUCUCGCACAUGAACACGGCGUUUAUCGUGUGAUUGAUGUACCAUUUCUCGUGGUUCUCGAAGUAAAAGGUGAGGAGGAUCGGUGUGACUAUCAGAGUCACUACGAUGAACAGCAUCAUCACGGUCUCCCAUAUUAUUCUACAUGUACGAAUUAUAGCAAUUUAAUUUCGCUGCAAGAGUGGAGAAAGAGAGAGGGAGAGGGGGCGAGAGAGAGAGAGAGAGACUGCAGAUAUAAGACAACGCAAAGUUCUUUUAUCAUGAAACGUAUAAAGAGAAACUCAACUCUAACACAACAUUACUUCUUGUAGGAACCAACCUAAAUGAACUAAAAGGAUGAAUCAUGUAAGGGUAGGAUUGGAUAUGCCGACUGAUCUCAUAAUGGAGUGCCUUGUUGCUCUUCAGACACCAUCGCGUGAAUGGAUGUCUGCGGUACGCUAUCCGCGUGCUCAGGAACCAACGUCGCAGUCUCGACCAGGCGGAGCUCCCAGGUAUCAGCAUGGUCACUGGAUUUUCUUCUGUCGGUAUCUCGCAGACAUGUUUCACGCGCGGUGAACGCUGCAUAAAUGAUUGAACGUUAUUAAAUAAGCAAAACAGCUUGGACGAAAGCCAUGUGAUGUUUGCAGCUAAGUAAUGUCUAGUUUAUAAAAAAAAUUAUUUUUUAUAUAAAUAUACUUUUCCUCAUUUUGUUA
Odontomachus brunneus is the source of this 1509-nucleotide long non-coding RNA. RefSeq lists it as uncharacterized. NCBI's taxonomy places the organism in Eukaryota, Metazoa, Arthropoda, Insecta, Hymenoptera, Formicidae. The record is from RefSeq and is a predicted model, not a curated record. The transcript is spliced from 2 exons.